RNAcentral lists this ribosomal RNA (486 nucleotides) under Mephitis mephitis (striped skunk). Its description in RNAcentral is "partial 16S ribosomal RNA". The stretch from base 227 to 344 matches the Rfam family "Bacterial large subunit ribosomal RNA", at positions 714 to 852 of the family's 2925-position model. The record is from RNAcentral. Lineage: Eukaryota; Metazoa; Chordata; Mammalia; Carnivora; Mephitidae.
CUAGCCCAAACUUUUAAUAACAAGCGCCAUACAAGACUAAUAAUUGAAACAUUUAAUUACCUGAUAAAGUAUAGGAGAUAGAAAUAUUAUUUGGAGCUAUAGAGAUAGUACCGUAAGGGGGCGAUGAAAGAUAAUUUAAAGUAAUAAACAGCAAAGAUUAACCCUUUUACCUUUUGCAUAAUGAGCUAGCUAGUACAACUUAACAAAGAGAACUUAAGCUAAGCACCCCGAAACCAGACGAGCUACCUGCGAACAAUUUAUAGGAAUGAACUCAUCUAUGUAGCAAAAUAGUGAGAAGAUUUGUAGGUAGUGGUGAAAAGCCUAACGAGCCUGGUGAUAGCUGGUUACCCAGAACAGAAUUUUAGUUCAACUUUAAAUUUACCAAACAAACCCAAAAUUCUUAUGUAAAUUUAAAAUAUAAUCUAAAAAGGUACAGCUUUUUAGAUAAAGGAUACAGCCUUACUUAGAGAGUAAAUUAUAUAAUAA